This 235-nucleotide ribosomal RNA is filed under the name uncultured fungus. RNAcentral describes it as "partial 18S ribosomal RNA". It matches the Rfam family "Eukaryotic small subunit ribosomal RNA", at positions 548 to 785 of the family's 1831-position model. Lineage: Eukaryota; Fungi. The record is from RNAcentral.
UUGGAGGGCAAGUCUGGUGCCAGCAGCCGCGGUAAUUCCAGCUCCAAUAGCGUAUAUUAAAGUUGUUGCAGUUAAAAAGCUCGUAGUUGAAUUUCGGGAUCAAUUUAUUGGUCGUGCCAACGGUACGCACUGGUACAAUUGGUUUCUCCCUUCUGACGAAGCAUGAUGUCAUUAAUUUGAUGUCGUGGGGAAUCAGGACUGUUACUUUGAAAAAAUUAGAGUGUUUAAAGCAGGC